RNAcentral lists this transfer RNA (75 nucleotides) under Candidatus Omnitrophota bacterium. RNAcentral's name for it is "Candidatus Omnitrophica bacterium tRNA-Thr". It matches the Rfam family "tRNA". From Rfam's summary of the family: Transfer RNA (tRNA) molecules are approximately 80 nucleotides in length. The record is from RNAcentral. Lineage: Bacteria; Pseudomonadati; Candidatus Omnitrophota.
GCUGGCGUGGCUCAACGGUAGAGCAGGUGAUUUGUAAUCACCUGGUUGGGGGUUCGAUUCCUCUCGCCAGCUCCA